CGCGUAGGCGGCCGAUCAAGUCCGACGUGAAAUUCCUCGGCUCAACCGAGGGCCUGCGUCGGAUACUGCUCGGCUUGAGUCCCGGAGAGGGUAGUGGAAUUCCCAGUGUAGCGGUGAAAUGCGUAGAUACUGGGAGGAACACCGGUGGCGAAGGCGGCUACCUGGACGGGUACUGACGCUGAGGCGCGAAAGCUAGGGGAGCAAACAGGAUUAGAUACCCUGGUAGUCCUAGCUGUAAACGAUGGGCACUUGGUGUUGCGGGUAUCGACCCCUGCAGUGCCGAAGCUAACGCAUUAAGUGCCCCGCCUGGGGAGUACGGUCGCAAGGCUGAA
RNAcentral lists this ribosomal RNA (332 nucleotides) under uncultured Actinomycetales bacterium. RNAcentral's name for it is "bacterial SSU rRNA". It matches the Rfam family "Bacterial small subunit ribosomal RNA", at positions 568 to 898 of the family's 1533-position model. Lineage: Bacteria; Bacillati; Actinomycetota; Actinomycetes; Actinomycetales. The record is from RNAcentral.